RNAcentral lists this ribosomal RNA (1371 nucleotides) under Salmonella enterica. RNAcentral's name for it is "partial 23S ribosomal RNA". It matches the Rfam family "Bacterial large subunit ribosomal RNA", at positions 1578 to 2925 of the family's 2925-position model. The record is from RNAcentral. Lineage: Bacteria; Pseudomonadati; Pseudomonadota; Gammaproteobacteria; Enterobacterales; Enterobacteriaceae. RNAcentral also lists the same sequence under 1 other name.
UACGGUGCUGAAGCAACAAAUGCCCUGCUUCCAGGAAAAGCCUCUAAGCAUCAGGUAACAUCAAAUCGUACCCCAAACCGACACAGGUGGUCAGGUAGAGAAUACCAAGGCGCUUGAGAGAACUCGGGUGAAGGAACUAGGCAAAAUGGUGCCGUAACUUCGGGAGAAGGCACGCUGACACGUAGGUGAAGUGAUUUACUCACGGAGCUGAAGUCAGUCGAAGAUACCAGCUGGCUGCAACUGUUUAUUAAAAACACAGCACUGUGCAAACACGAAAGUGGACGUAUACGGUGUGACGCCUGCCCGGUGCCGGAAGGUUAAUUGAUGGGGUCAGCGCAAGCGAAGCUCCUGAUCGAAGCCCCGGUAAACGGCGGCCGUAACUAUAACGGUCCUAAGGUAGCGAAAUUCCUUGUCGGGUAAGUUCCGACCUGCACGAAUGGCGUAAUGAUGGCCAGGCUGUCUCCACCCGAGACUCAGUGAAAUUGAACUCGCUGUGAAGAUGCAGUGUACCCGCGGCAAGACGGAAAGACCCCGUGAACCUUUACUAUAGCUUGACACUGAACAUUGAGCCUUGAUGUGUAGGAUAGGUGGGAGGCUUUGAAGUGUGGACGCCAGUCUGCAUGGAGCCGACCUUGAAAUACCACCCUUUAAUGUUUGAUGUUCUAACGUGGACCCGUAAUCCGGGUUGCGGACAGUGUCUGGUGGGUAGUUUGACUGGGGCGGUCUCCUCCUAAAGAGUAACGGAGGAGCACGAAGGUUGGCUAAUCCUGGUCGGACAUCAGGAGGUUAGUGCAAUGGCAUAAGCCAGCUUGACUGCGAGCGUGACGGCGCGAGCAGGUGCGAAAGCAGGUCAUAGUGAUCCGGUGGUUCUGAAUGGAAGGGCCAUCGCUCAACGGAUAAAAGGUACUCCGGGGAUAACAGGCUGAUACCGCCCAAGAGUUCAUAUCGACGGCGGUGUUUGGCACCUCGAUGUCGGCUCAUCACAUCCUGGGGCUGAAGUAGGUCCCAAGGGUAUGGCUGUUCGCCAUUUAAAGUGGUACGCGAGCUGGGUUUAGAACGUCGUGAGACAGUUCGGUCCCUAUCUGCCGUGGGCGCUGGAGAACUGAGGGGGGCUGCUCCUAGUACGAGAGGACCGGAGUGGACGCAUCACUGGUGUUCGGGUUGUCAUGCCAAUGGCACUGCCCGGUAGCUAAAUGCGGAAGAGAUAAGUGCUGAAAGCAUCUAAGCACGAAACUUGCCCCGAGAUGAGUUCUCCCUGAGACUUAGAGUCUCCUGAAGGAACGUUGAAGACGACGACGUUGAUAGGCCGGGUGUGUAAGCGCAGCGAUGCGUUGAGCUAACCGGUACUAAUGAACCGUGAGGCUUAACCUU